CUCCAUCCUCCCGUUCCCAUCCCCCACUCCACUCCCCACUGCGCCGGUGACGAGCGAUACCCCAAAUCCCCCACGAAAUCCCUAGGGCUUCGCGGCGAGCUAGCCGGCGACGAGUCAAUUGACGGAGAAAGGAGACCCCCAGCGAAGGAUUCCGCCCAGCAUCCGACGGGUGAGGGCGGCACGCGCGUGCCAGAGAAGGAGGAGAAGGAAGCAUCGACGGGGAAGGAGAAGAAGGAAGCGACGAAGCUCUGCGCGAAGCGACGGAUGCCCCGGAGACGCGAUAUCCUGCUGAUUCAAUGCCCCAAGGCAAAAACCAAAAGUGAAAAACUACGGGGGAGGGCAUCUUUUUCAGUAUCCCUCGAGUGGUAGUUUUUAUGAUGGAUGACUACCAAGAUCAACAGAAUGGCGAGAAGCAACGUGCAAGCCAAUAGACAUGAUGUGUUUUCAAGAGGCAGUAGUUUUCCUUCAUGCCAACAAUAUUUUCAGUUCUGCAGGUGUAGGGGGAGGCAAGAACAGGGGGACAAGAUUCAUGUCAGGUUCUGCAACAACAAUUCGGUACAGGGGCAAAUUUUGCAAGCAGUAGAUCAAGGGGUAGGUACAUAAAGGGAAACACACUAGUUCUAGAACAACCAAGGAUGUUGGCAGAUUUAAUGGUGUGUUUUGCCUUGAUUACCUUUGUUGUCGUCUUCCCUGGGAGUUUUUUGCCCAGCUUUGGCAAUUUCAUUGCCCACAAUUUCUCCAAAUUAUUGCCUGAUCAGCAAGUUUUUGCAGACAUAAUUGCAGUUUUUCCCCAGAUUUUUGCUUGAUUUUUUCUCCUUCCCCUGCUGUGUUUUCCGUUGUGGGAGGGGAGCUCUCCAACCACUAAGCCAUGGCGUGCGGCGUCGGAAGAAGAUGUUGCACGGGGGACGCUGCUGGGCGUAGGGUUUCCCUGGUGGCGGGGCAGAAGCGAGAUCACGUGAAAAGGGUUGUUUUAUUUGGCGUGACGUGGCAACGACAGAGGAGGUGUACCUGCCUUUUUUUAGCAUGUGGGUGGGACCGACACGGGAAACUUUCCUUAAC
Long non-coding RNA from Triticum dicoccoides, 1059 nucleotides. RefSeq lists it as uncharacterized. The transcript has 3 exons. Lineage: Eukaryota; Viridiplantae; Streptophyta; Magnoliopsida; Poales; Poaceae. The record is from RefSeq and is a predicted model, not a curated record.